CGACCAAUCGGCACCCACUGGCAGGUCACCAGUGCAGGUUUUUUGCCACAAAGGAAACAGGCUGCUCUGAAUCCAAACAGUGCGUGGCUUACAGUGCCACUGACUCAGCAUGAACCACCUCCUCAGCUCCCACAGCAGCCCUGGUCCUCACUGGCCACCCUGGGCACUGCCAGCAAAGCCACCUGAGCUGGCAAGGACAGGGAUGCCCAGGGACGGGGCCAUUGGCAGGACCUUACUCUCAUGCCAAGGUCUUUUUCCUCUGCCAGUUUUCAGUGGAGCUUUCUCUGCACAUCCCCUUGCCUGCUUGUUGCUAGAGCUUGUCACAAGCAUGGGGGUCUCUGUUGGUCACUUGGUCCCUCUCUCCUCCCAGAGCAGGUCCUGGCUGUGGGGCCAUCCCUGGGGGCAGGGCUGGGACCAGCUCACACACAUUCCUUGCAGGUCUCAGGUCCCUUGGCAGAGCUCUGCAAGCAGCUGCUUCCCUCUCUCUCUGCAUUAAGAUUAAUGUUUGAGCAGCAGUUGUCCCAUCCAUCUCUCUGGGAGACUUCCUCCAAACAAAUAGCAGGAGGAGGUGGCAUCUAUUUGAGAAUGACAGGGCUUCAAUCUAUUUAUUCCACAGGUACAAUCAUGAGUGGAAGCAGCAGUGGUAGUGACAGCAAUUCCCCAGUGAGCAGCAGAGCCUGAGGACCAGGAGGGUAAUGGUGAGAAACACCUGAGGUGGGCUGGGGGAAGAGGGGGGAAAGGAGGAGUAAUGUGGUAUUCAGGCUGUACAGCUGCAGUGGAAGGGAAAUGCUGUUAAAGAACUGGGUGUGGUUCUGAAAAUCCAGACUGGGGGUAUUUCAUCUUGGAAUGCAAUUACAUUCCUGUAAAAUCUUUCACUGACAUGAUGCUGGCUGUGGAGGUGAGCACCAGAGACCUUCUGCCCACGACUUUGCAGGAUUAAGUCAGCUUGUGAGUGAGCAGUGAUGCAUGAAUAACCAAGAGAGAAUGUGUGUCCUUUCAUGAGCGUUCAUGCUAGAUCUGUGUCCUGAGAGGAAAGCAAUGUUUGGGUCGCAGGGCCGGGCAGUGGGAACCUUAAAUUCCACGGGAAAUAAAAAUGAAAGAAGCAGUGAUAUUGAGAACUUC
This 1122-nucleotide long non-coding RNA is filed under the name Serinus canaria (Common canary). RNAcentral describes it as "lncRNA (ENSSCAG00000012844.1)". Lineage: Eukaryota; Metazoa; Chordata; Aves; Passeriformes; Fringillidae. The record is from RNAcentral.